RNAcentral lists this ribosomal RNA (253 nucleotides) under uncultured bacterium. RNAcentral's name for it is "partial 16S ribosomal RNA". It matches the Rfam family "Bacterial small subunit ribosomal RNA", at positions 524 to 776 of the family's 1533-position model. The record is from RNAcentral.
GACAGAGGUGCCAAGCGUUAGGCGGAAUCACUGGGCUUAAAGCGUGUGUAGGCGGAUCUAUAAGUACCUUGUGAAAUCCCACGGCUUAACCGUGGAACUGCUGGGUAUACUGUGGAUCUUGAGCCAACUAGGGGCUACCGGAACAAAUGGUGGAGCGGUGAAAUGCGUAGAGAUCCGGAGGAACACCGACGGCGCAGGCAGCGUCCUGGCCGCUUGCUGACACUGAGGCACGAAAGCUGGGGGAGCAAACAGG